Long non-coding RNA from Argiope bruennichi, 340 nucleotides. RefSeq lists it as uncharacterized. NCBI's taxonomy places the organism in Eukaryota, Metazoa, Arthropoda, Arachnida, Araneae, Araneidae. The record is from RefSeq and is a predicted model, not a curated record. The transcript is spliced from 3 exons.
GUUUAUUUCAGUAAAGCAAGUCAAAGUUUGGAGCUCUCAUAAAAUACAUACCAUAAUCUGGAAACUAGAAGUUAUGAGCAUCCGAAGACUACUCGCUUUUCGACGAUUCUACCUCGCUAAAGGGUGAGAUACAAAAGGAUGAGAGCAUUUCCGGAAUUCUUCGACCUUGAUUUUCAGUCCAUUAGAUACUUUUUCGUUCAGUUUUUCUCCACAUGCACAUAACGAAUUCUUCAAAAUUAGCAAUAAAGUUUCUGGCCACGUACCACACGAGCCGAGAUUAACAAUCGAAGAAUGGAAUAAGAAUUGUUGAAAGAAAGAAACGCAAAAACAUUCAUCCUGC